Lotus japonicus is the source of this 3964-nucleotide long non-coding RNA. RefSeq lists it as uncharacterized. The transcript is spliced from 6 exons. The record is from RefSeq and is a predicted model, not a curated record. NCBI's taxonomy places the organism in Eukaryota, Viridiplantae, Streptophyta, Magnoliopsida, Fabales, Fabaceae.
AUCCUAGAUAGGGUUUAGGUUGAAGAUGGGGAAGUAGAAGGACAAAAUUUCACUGUUUACAUUUGGGGAUGAUCAUAAGCUGACGAAGAAGAACCAGAUUCAGAAGCCAAGAUCAUGUCAGUUCAGUACAAGUGCAGCAGUUGGCAGUUUUGGUGAGCACAAUGCGGCCUGUCUUCUUGUAUUCUGGGAAGACACUUCCCUUCUUGCUGUUCCAUGUUUUUCUGCUGCUGGUACUUUGUUAGAGGUAAACCAUUGGUUUCAUCUGCCUUUUGAUUUGUAUGUAUUUGUAUGUAUAACCACUAAAAAUGUGAAUUUUUUUUUCUCUGUUUUACAAGAGUUUCACUAGAGUCUAAUAGAUGUAUACAAGUAUAAAGGCUUGAGCCAAAAGCACUAGACAGUAUUCCACUUGAUAGUGUAUUCAAAUUAAGAACAUUUGCAUGGUCACUGUUAAUUUUUGGCAAAGAGGGGUUAAUGGUUUGUAGGAUGGCCAGAUUCUGUUUGGGACUCGGCAAAAACUGAUAUUUGCUUCCCUGUUUGACUAUUCCAAAUAUGAAUUGUUCCAUCACUAGAUGAUAAGAUGCAAAUAUCGUUUCCCACCUAAAAAAUCUGCAUAAGUAAUGAGUGAUUUAUAACAAAUGUUGUUACAAUCGAAAAAUAAUAUCUAAAAGCCCCUAUAGAAGCUAAUAAAAUUUCAAACACGGCUUAACUCAUGAGUAACUGUUAUAAUUUCUAUACUAAUAAACACAGCUUAAAUCAUCACUAACAUCCAUUCACAUAACAUCCCCUUUUGUUUUAAAUCAUCAGCCGUGAUGCAUAAUGGAUAAUGACUAGCAGUUUGCUGAUUGAUACCAUAGUUGAAAGUUGAUAGUACUUGGUAGUUCUCUACUAUAGUAAUAUAUUAAUACUACAAGGAUUUACAGUGUAAAGUCUGGGUGAUUUGAUUUCAAGAAUUCUUUUGAUUAUUAAAACUGGAAAGAAUUUACAGAAGAUGUUCUCUUCAGAUCAAGUUGCCUAUAAAUAUUCUCACAACUCUCAAUCUUUGUGGUACUCUCCCAUUCACAAGGCUUCUCCUCCAAAGGUUGUAUGUCAUUCAAUUAUGGCUACAUUUUCUCUCUUUAAUUUAGCAUUCUUCUUAACACAUAAUGUAACCCGUCUCCGUGCGAUGCACGGACGAGCAGUUGGUGUAAAUCCGCCUCCGUGCGAUGCAUGGAAAAUUAAUCUUGUCUUGAUUGGAGCCAUUAACGUUUUCUCUACUGCAUUCAGGUCAUCUCAACUUUCAAACCUGCUUGGAGCUUUACAUGAUGAUGGUCAAUAAGUGUUUUUUUUUUUAUUAUUUUGGAUCUGCUCUAUCAUAUGAGAAAAUGUUUGUUUCUGUGAUGCACAGUUUCAGUAGUGACCAAGUCUUUUUAUUAUCUUCGUUGUGCUUCACUUUUAGCAUGUUUUUUUAGUAACAUUUAUGUGAAUUAUAUGUUUGUGCAGGACUAUGAAAUUUCUUUGUUAUACACGAAUGUGAAACUCAAUCUGAAUUUGAAGAGCAAAGACAUCAGGUUCCUGAAACCUGGGGAAGAGUUUGGCAAGUGGAAGUUUGCCUUUGUAUCACUAGGGUGUCCUGACUCCUGAGUACCAUAAUGAUUCCGAUAUUGUAUCCAGUCUUCAGGUAUGAAGACAUUCUUAUCAAAUAUAUAUAUUUGAUCUGCAGGUAUGAAGACAUUCUUCUAUCCUUGUGGAACAUUUCAAAGAAUGCUACUGUUGCAAAAAUCAGAUCCAUAUGUAUCUGCUUUGAAUGAGGCAACACCAGGAAGUGUUAGGUCAGUUUUCAAAGCUUGGGAAGACCGUUUGAAUUCUUCUGGGAAUCACUUGGAAACCAAGGGUGUAACGGUGGCCCAAACACUGGCAGACUUAGCGCUCUGGCCAAUAAGCCAAAGCUAUUCAGUUGCUUAAAGUUUUACUUUUCGGGUGAUUAUGUGCUGAGUUAUAAGGAAGAUCUUGAAGAUUUAGUUGAAGUGGGAAGAGGUGCAGUUUUGAGAAGCAAGGAUAAAUUGGAAGCUAAAAGACAUGAAUUUAAAGUGGCUUCAAAUUUGUUUAUUGUUUACAAUCUUGAUCCGCCACAAGGAAGAAAUUGGGGUAUGAAGAUUCAACUCUUUGGCAGAGACUAAAUGAGGCAGAAGAUCUACCUGCCAAUAUUGGUUCCCAAGUCAUUGGUCACACAUGGAUUCUGGAGUCAAUUGCUGCGUGUAAGUUGCAACCUUUUGUUAGCUAAAACGCAUUUUGUAGCUGAUUUUGUCCCUCUUUUGAUAGGGUAUUUAUUCUGCAAAAGAUUUGAUCAAUUAUGUACAGAAUGUCAAUUGAAUUUAUAUCUUAUGUUAGCUAUGAUAUUGAGGGAUGCUAGCAAUAUGUUUGACCGUUUGUUAUUUAGUGAAAUGUAUUUGUGAUUUACUAAAAAAAACAGGAUCACUUGGAAAGCAAUGAGGGUGAUCCUAAGUAACUUGUAUUCAUUCCGUAAGUUUCUAUGCCCUACACUCAUCUUGUGUUGUUAUUUACACAUGCUAAGUCAUGGCAUGUUUGGAAUAUAGUGGGUGGAUAUAGUUGUCAAUUUAGUACUUAUGCCAUAGUUAAUUUUCAUUUUUCAAACUACUUCCAUGUCAAUGGCCUAGAAGUUUGAAUAAUCUUUUCAACAACAUAACAUCUCCAUAAUCCAGGACCUGCAUGUCUUAAGAACAACAUCAGAUAUCAAUUCAUUUUCGAUGGACCAAGGUAGGAAUGCUUCAAACAUUAAUUCUAGCAGCAAGGGGUAAACAGGUUGCUGUGUGCUUUUUCUCAUGAUGAUUUUGAACUCAAUGUUUCAGGAACCAAGCAAACAAGAUUUACUAAACUAUGGGCAAAAUGGCUUACAGAACAAGAAGUGAGAACAACUAAGAACAAGAGGAGCUUCAUCAACAUGCUUUGUUUUUUACUCAAAUUGUAUUUUACUGCUAGAUAUUAUUAUUAUGGCAUUCAUUUCAAUUUAAUUGAAAUCUAAUUGUUUCUCAUUUUAAGUUGUCUAUAAAUACUGUUAUUGUGUGUCCUUGCUAUUGUUCUUGCUCUAACUUCUUUUCUUUCUCUGUUGUAGGCUGUUUUGGAGGAGCUAAGAAUGGAUUAUAUGUGUAUAAGAAUUAUGUUGUUUAUAUAUUUUGGUUGUUAGCUCCUUGAGUAAAUCAUGUUAGUAUUUACCAAGUUGUAUUUUCAAAUUUUUUAGGCUUAAAUACUCUAGGGGUCCCUGAAAUUGUACCCCGUAUCAAAAUAAGUCCCUGAAAAUUUUUUUUCCGAUUCCGGAUCCCUGGAAUUGUUUUUUUAAUCAGAAUAAGUCCCUACGCCGGAGAAGACGGUGGUUGACGACGGCGGUCAUGGAGGCGCUACGACCAGGGUGUUGGGCCGGCUUCGUCUCGUCCUCAGGAACUCAGUGGUGGUGGUCUCGUGGGCUGGGUCGUCACAGUUGAAGAGAAAAGGCCAGUCGCAAGUUGAUUUCUUCUCGCCGGAAUUUAUGGAGCUUCUCGGUUUCUUCGUUUUAGCUUUGUUUCUUGCGAUUUCUUCGCCCAGAUCAGAUAUAUGAAGGUCUAGGAGUGUUUUAAACAUGUUAUUUCAUGGCUUGUGGAAACAAUGAGGAGGCAACCACUGUCUUCUCCGGCGUAGGGACUUAUUUUGAUCAAACAAAUUUUUCUAGGGACCCGGAAUCGGGAAAAAAAUUUUCAAGGACUUAUUUUGAUACGGGGUACAAUUUCAGGGACCUACAGAGUAUUUAAGCCAAUUUUUUACCCUUGAAGGUGACAGAUAUACUGCUGGGCAUCUUUGUUGUAAAUGUUGAGAAAAUUUACUCUCAUUAACAAUUGGGAUUAGUCAUUAUUGGGUUCCAUUAUUAUCCAGUAUUGAAGAAUACUUUGUAUUAACAAUAGUUUGUGUAAAUAGUCUUUGUAAUUAUAGUUGUCUA